AUUCUCGGAUUCGGUUUUCAAAUUUCAAAAUUCCCAAAUUCAAAUAUUUAGCCAAAGCAGAUUCAUUGUGCACUUACUCUUCUACACUUCGUUCUCUCUCCCUCUCAAUUCCUUUACAUGCUCAACCAACAAUAGUUCCCUGGUGAAGUGUUUUGUUUUGAAAUCAUUCAUACCAGCAUACAAAAAGAGAGAGAAAGGGAGAGAGAGAAUGGGGGAGAAUAGUGAUGGUGGUACAUCUAGGGUUACCCCGACACUCGUGGUGACCAGAUCUGGCGACGUCUUCGGCAACAUCCUUGUACGUGUUCGUUUGGCAGUGUACAAGUGGACUUCCGGGUGAUGUCACUAUUGAGAUCGGAGAAACGUCGUUUCACCUCCAUAAGUUUCCUUUAAUCUCAAGAAGCGGGCUAUUAACAAGACUUAUUGGCGAUUUCUCAAAUGAAGACGAGCACGUAUGCAUUGUGCAUCUUGACGAGAUACCGGGUGGAUCGAAAUACGGGAUUCGACUAUUUAAAAAAAAUGAAGGGUUGUUGUUGGCAGAGAAAUAAUGGUUGCCAAAUAGGGACCUGGUGCUAAAAGAAUGUGAGUUCUCUAGCAAAAGUUUGAUCUCAAUCAUGAAGACUUUUCUUUGAUAUGUUUUUUUGGUCAUACUAGCAAUAGCUUGGUACACUUUUCAUGUCUUAUUCAUUCGAUGAUUUAUCGAUUUGAAUAUAAAAUCUUACAUCAUUUUUCCUAUCAAUUUGUUGGCGUUAAAUAAUUUGGGUUUAUAUAUUUCUAUACUUCGUUUGCUUUUAUUCACAAGGGAAGAAUACUAGAGCCAGUAGAAAAGUUGAAGGGGAGAUCAAGGAGCCGGAGUCUAAAGGUCUCAUCAACCAUCAUCUCAUGUAAUUUAUUUGGAACUGCUGGAGCAAAAUGUUAUAAACUCAAAUAAAGACAGGUGGGUUUGGAAUAACCCUUUGGGUGAUGAGUUGUCCGUGGAUUUUGUUCAAAAUCUGAUAGCGACCGCGAAUAACGAAGAUAAUGGUGGCAGUUGGCCUUUGUGGAACAGUUGGGCUCCCCAAAAAUAAACUUCUUCAUGUGGCAUGCGUCGUUAAAAUAAGAUUCCGUAAAAAGGAGCUAGCCGUGAGGGGUGUACGGAUUCAUAAUGGUUGGCUUAAGUGAUUCACAUGGUGGCUUAAUGUAUGGUUGCGGUGGCAAGUUUUAGUGUGGCUUAAAAUCCCAACUUCCCCAUGGGGAGUUUUCAUGCAACACGGUCUGGGGUCUUUUGUAGAAUCUGAACGGGUCAAGAGAUUGGAAGAAAGUGGUCAGUGUAGUCUUCAUGGAAACAUUGUGGCAAAUCUGGAAAGCGAGAAACGCGAAAGAAUUCGAAGGUUGCAACAUUCCGGUUGCGAAGGUCGUGGAGGAGAUUAAGAUGAACUUGUUUCUUUGGGUUAAAUGUAGAUCUAAAUAUCAUGUGGUUAACUGGGAUAGGUUGCAAAGGUCGUCGAGGAAAUUAAGAUGAACUUAAUGCGUGUUUGCUUGUUUGCUCAGGUUUUCAGUUUCUUUCUGGCUGGCCCGGUUUUCAAUAUAAUAUAUAGAAGUUUUUUCUGUUAAAAAAAUGUAAUAUAUUUUGUAGUGCUUGUACAAUUCAUGUCAAUUGGUAUAAAAACCGGUUGAAUUAUAAUAUUAUGAUGAACUAAUGUUUGAAAUUGGUGAAACGUGGUCAUUAUUUCAAUGGAUUUCCUACAUGUGAUGUAAGGAUAGACAAGUUUUGAGAGGUCGCGACGGGACGUGAAUUUGGAGUCUUGUGAUUAUACGGAUAUUUUUGAAAAUCACAUUGCCAUUUGAUCUGUUCACCGGUUCAACUUGCAUGAGUGAAUAAUCAAUGUUUGCUCUGGUUUAUUUGAUAUACACCAAUACACCAAUUUAUAAGCAUAUCCUCCAUUAAACUAUUUUACAGCUUAUAUAACUAUAGUUAUAUCAUUUAUAUCUUAUACAACCUCCACUAGACUACAUGUGU
Molecule: RNA transcript, 1996 nt
Organism: Helianthus annuus (common sunflower)
Lineage: Eukaryota; Viridiplantae; Streptophyta; Magnoliopsida; Asterales; Asteraceae
Gene name: BTB/POZ domain-containing protein At5g03250
Exons: 5
Source: RefSeq, a predicted model, not a curated record